GAUCCUGGCUCAGGAUGAACUCUAGCUACAGGCUUAACACAUGCAAGUCGAGGGGCAGCAUGGUCUUAGCUUGCUAAGGCCGAUGGCGACCGGCGCACGGGUGAGUAACGCGUAUCCAACCUGCCUUACACUCUUGGACAGCCUUCUGAAAGGGAGAUUAAUACAAGAUGUUAUCAUGAGUAAGCAUUUUCGCAUGAUUAAAGGUUUACCGGNGUAAGAUGGGGAUGCGUU
RNAcentral lists this ribosomal RNA (231 nucleotides) under uncultured bacterium. RNAcentral's name for it is "partial 16S ribosomal RNA". It matches the Rfam family "Bacterial small subunit ribosomal RNA", at positions 15 to 237 of the family's 1533-position model. The record is from RNAcentral.